RNAcentral lists this long non-coding RNA (572 nucleotides) under Musa acuminata (dwarf banana). RNAcentral describes it as "long non-coding RNA (MACU_LNC002533)". The record is from RNAcentral. Lineage: Eukaryota; Viridiplantae; Streptophyta; Magnoliopsida; Zingiberales; Musaceae.
AUGCUGAUUUAGGUGCAUCCCUUCUAUCUCUUGGUGCGGUCGGCAUUGAGUACCGGAGGUGUGUGUGCUGUUACUGAGCAUUGCCAUGAUAGCUGAAUCAACUAUAGCAGCAAAAUAUAGUCCAUCUAUAUUGUUCAAACCUCAAAUUCUACAAAGAAUAUGAACAUAUUUGUUAAAUUUGAUGGCAUUUCAGGGUGUCCUGCAGCUAUCCAAGCAAGAACAUCACCUUCAAGAUUGAUCAGAGCAGCAACCAUCCAUCCUACUUUGCCUUCCAAAUCUGGGAUCAGCAAGGAAACAAGGAUGUAACUGCUGUUCAGUUGUGUGAGGUACAGACUAAUUAAGCAUAUAAUACACACAUGAAGAAACACAUCACACUAGCUUAACUGUAUGCUACAACUACUAACUCGAUGAUAACUUUGGAUCUUACUACUGCAGACAGAGAACUUGACAUGCAAGCUGUUGGAAAGGAGCCAUGGAGCAGUGCGGGCAGUAGUAUCUCCACCAAGUGGGCCUCUCUCUGUAAGGAUUUUACAAAGUGGAGGUGAUGAUAGAGAUGAGACAUGGGUUGUGCC